GUAAUUAUUAAUAGUAAAAAAUAAAAUAAUGAAUAUUGUUAAAUAAAAAUAAUAAAUAUAUAUAAAAUUAACUAAUUAAUUAAUUUCUUACAAUUAUAGACAAUGACAUUUCCAUUAACCCUGUCUGAGUGACACGUCGUGAGGCCAUUACGUCACAUGAUCAACGGCUGUUUGUCAACAGAUGACAUUGCACCCUCAACGUUUGUUUUUUUUAUAAUAGGUUGAUAUUUAGCUCAAGAAUUAUCUGUAAAUACAAAAUUUGUACAUAUAACAAUCCUGUUCAUUCGUAGUUAUCUGUUUGUUUACAUAUUAACUUUUUUUUUGUUUAUUCGGUUUUAAGCUUAAGGUUAAUUUGUCCGUUGUUGAGAAAAGACAGCCAAACAGGUUUGGAACAAGUGAAUGAGUUCUCUACAGUCAACUGACAACUACAUAACACUUACACAUUCUGUCCCUCAAAAAUAAGGUUCUUGCAGCUUAAAAAAAAUGUACCUGAUAGUGGAGUUCAUUCACGAAGGGAGUACCGGACCUGUCGCCAAGUCUUGGUACUCAGAGGGUCACUCGUGGUGGCCUCCAUACAAGAAGAUAGACAGGGUAUUGAGGAGUGUCCGGUUGAUGGAGGCACCACAACCAGAUAAAGGUUGGACCAAGCAUCAGGCCAGAAUU
RNAcentral lists this long non-coding RNA (663 nucleotides) under Danio rerio (zebrafish). RNAcentral's name for it is "lncRNA si:dkey-22h13.7 (ENSDARG00000096486.2)". The record is from RNAcentral. Lineage: Eukaryota; Metazoa; Chordata; Actinopteri; Cypriniformes; Danionidae.